CCUACGGGAGGCAGCAGUGGGGAAUCUUGCGCAAUGGGCGAAAGCCUGACGCAGCCAUGCCGCGUGUAUGAUGAAGGUCUUAGGAUUGUAAAAUACUUUCACCGGUGAAGAUAAUGACUGUAGCCGGAGAAGAAGCCCCGGCUAACUUCGUGCCAGCAGCCGCGGUAAUACGAAGGGGGCUAGCGUUGCUCGGAAUUACUGGGCGUAAAGGGAGCGUAGGCGGACAUUUAAGUCAGGGGUGAAAUCCCAGAGCUCAACUCUGGAACUGCCUUUGAUACUGGGUGUCUUGAGUGUGAGAGAGGUAUGUGGAACUCCGAGUGUAGAGGUGAAAUUCGUAGAUAUUCGGAAGAACACCAGUGGCGAAGGCGACAUACUGGCUCAUUACUGACGCUGAGGCUCGAAAGCGUGGGGAGCAAACAGGAUUAGAUACCCUGGUAGUCCACGCCGUAAACGAUGAUUGCUAGUUGUCGGGAUGUUUACAUCUCGGUGACGCAGCUACGCAUAGACAGUCCGCCGUGGGAGGUACGGUCGCGAAGUAGUAAACGUUACGAAAGUAAGUUAGUUAGUCGUUGAGACGNGCGACGGACGACGACGAGGGAGGAGG
This 604-nucleotide ribosomal RNA is filed under the name uncultured bacterium. Its description in RNAcentral is "bacterial SSU rRNA". The stretch from base 1 to 515 matches the Rfam family "Bacterial small subunit ribosomal RNA", at positions 338 to 873 of the family's 1533-position model. The record is from RNAcentral.